GAUGAACGCUGGCGGCGUGCCUAAUACAUGCAAGUCGAGCGAACGGACGAGAAGCUUGCUUCUCUGAUGUUAGCGGCGGACGGGUGAGUAACACGUGGAUAACCUACCUAUAAGACUGGGAUAACUUCGGGAAACCGGAGCUAAUACCGGAUAAUAUUUUGAACCGCAUGGUUCAAAAGUGAAAGACGGUCUUGCUGUCACUUAUAGAUGGAUCCGCGCUGCAUUAGCUAGUUGGUAAGGUAACGGCUUACCAAGGCAACGAUGCAUAGCCGACCUGAGAGGGUGAACGGCCACACAGGAACUGAGACACGGUCCAGACUCCUACGGGAGGCAGCAGUAGGGAAUCUUCCGCAAUGGGCGAAAGCCUGACGGAGCAACGCCGCGUGAGUGAUGAAGGUCUGCGGAUCGUAAAACUCUGUUAUUAGGGAAGAACAUAUGUGUAAGUAACUGUGCACAUCGUGACGGUACCUAAUCAGAAAGCCACGGCUAACUACGUG
Molecule: ribosomal RNA, 497 nt
Filed under: uncultured bacterium
Lineage: Bacteria
Description: partial 16S ribosomal RNA
Rfam family: Bacterial small subunit ribosomal RNA
Source: RNAcentral